UUUCUCCUCAGUUCCUGUCUCAGAUGCUGUGCUGAUACCCCGCACCAACGGGACUGAGAUACAGCCCGGGGACCGCCUUGUUCUCCGGUGCCUGGUGAGGGAAGGCACUGAGCCCCAGUUCAUUUGGUACCGAGACAACGUGCCGCUAAGGAACGGCAGUGCGAGCUCCCAUGUGACUGCCGAUGGUCGUGAGCUGGUUAUUCAUUCAUUCCGGAGAGACAGUGUCGGGAGGUAUCACUGUGCAGCGAUCAACACAGGAACCGACGGCACCAUUUUUAACGUGACCAGCGACUAUAUCGAAUUCACGCUGCGAGCUCGGAGUUAUUCCACGGAGAUCGUGGCCUCGCUCGUCCCAGUUCUGCUGUUCGCCGGCCUGAUCGCGUCGGCGUGGUUCAUCCACCGGAGGGGGCACACAGGUCUGUAACUUCCCACGGGGAUCGGGUUUGUUCCCCGGGGCAUGGCACUGCCGUCCCCGCCCCAAUGUAACCUUUGCAGCUGGACAGGGUUGGGGUGGAGGACCCCGGGGAACGAGGUGUUGGGUCAGGAACUGGGGUAGACCGUGUUCCUGACAGUCGGAUGGAGAGCAGUCACAAAGUUCGCCUCCUGGUUCGGGUAAAUGUGAUCACUAUCCCCACUCUGUGCUAGAGCAUCUCAGAAGAGGAGAGACAUAACAUCAUGUGAAUCAGGAACAGGAGGAGGCCAUUCAGACCCCUCAAGUCCUCGCUCCACUAAUCGUAACCCUAAUUUAAACUCAAACCUACCCCUAAACUAAAUCUUAGUCCUAAACCGAGCUCUAAUACUCAUUCUAAUCGUGGCUCUCAGCCAAAUGCUAACUAAAACUAAUACACCAACCCAAACCUUAAGCCUAGCCCUAGACUGACCACUGACCCUCACUGUAAUCCUUGCCUUAACCCAAUGCUAACCUUAAACCAAACCUUAAUGCUGAACCAACCUUAACCCUAACCCUCGCCCAACCCAUAACCCAAAACCUAACCAUGACCCUAAUCCUAAUCUGAAUCCCAACACUAACCUUAAACUGAAUGCUAACCCUCACCACAAAACAAUACUUAACCUCCUUCAUUUCCUGUUGGUGAUUCCUGUUUUCCCCUGAUAUCCACUUCUACCUUUAUUCCCAAUUGACCUUUCCCACCUCUUCACCUUCCUGCUCCCACUCAAUUCCAAUUCCAUUCCAAUAUCGUUCCAAUUGCAGUACGCCAAGCCUGACCCCAAUGAUUCCUGUAUCACAUAUGCCACGCUGAACCUCAGCGAGCUCUCAGAGGAAGAAGACAGAGCGGGUGGAAAUGUUUACGAGAAUAUUCCACACAAGUAAGAAAGAAGAAGACAGAUGAGAGGUGGGUCAUUCGAUUUUUAUAGACUGUCUGGUGAAGAGGUACAAUGUAACUCCUGUGUACAGAUCCCAAACUUGUGAACUUUGCGAUGGAAACCAUGUUUCACACGUUGUUUGACUCCACUCAUUUUCAGCCGGGGAAGCUAAUUUCAUGUUGUUGCAUCUGUUGGUCUGUUCUGGACAUUGCAGGCCGUUAGUUUUGUAAAAUCAAAACUAUUUUAGCAGCUGGUGGUCUUUGGAAAUUUAAUACCUGUCCCUCCUUCUCUCUCAUGUACAUGUCUGAGGAUUGAGCUUUUCAGUUGGUCCAUGUUUAAGGGGAGGAAGACAUCGUCUGCCACCUUCUGCGCAUGGAACAGACCAACUUUGAACAGGAAUAGUCAGAAGGAUCUGACAGUUGGGAGAUAUAAACAAAAACAGAAACCAGCCAAUUUCAAUGGUUACAUUCCAGGGCGAAAGAGACCUGGGGUGUGGGGUUGGACCGAGCAACUUCUGGCCCCACAGAAGGAACACACACUGAGCUGCAAGCCACUGAACAAACUGGAUAGAAAAGGCAUGGCUGAAAUGGAGUCUGUACGGAGAAGACUAGAUCUCCCAAUGAUCCGAAAUCCCUGCUGGACACUUCAACUCGGUUUUCUGAGAUUCCAGAACCCAUUGUGGGAACGGGAACGUGGGGGUUUCUCUCCGCUGCAGGUAUUUUGGAAACGCCACAUUGUCAGGAUGGGGGAUCACACACCUCCAGAGUGGCAGGCUUGACCUUUGAAUGGGGAAGCGAUGGCCUCAUGGGAUUAUCGCGGAACUGUUAAUCCAGAUGUUCCAGUGAUGUUCUGGGGACCCGGGUUCAAAUCCUGCAACACAGAUUGUGGAAUUUAAAUUCAUCAAAAUCCUGAAUCUGAGAGUCUGAUGGUAACUGUGAAUCAAUUGUUGGAAAACCCCAUCUGGUUCACUCACGUGGUUUAGGGAAGGAAACUGCUAUCCUUACCUGGUCUGGCCUUCAUGUGACUCCAGACCCACAGCAAAGUGGUUGAUUUUUAACAGCCCCCUGGACAGCUAAGGAUGGGCAACAAAUGUUGGCCUGGCCAGCAAUGCCCUCAUCCCAUGAAUUAAAAUUGUUGGCUUUUUAGUCCCGACAUACAGACACUCUCGCUGCAGCACAAAAGGGUUUGGGUUUAUGUAAGUACAGGCUUGGUAGAAGACGUUAAGAUUUUAACAUCGACGCCGUCUGGAUCUGACAAUUGCUGGCCACCAAGAAAGGAGCAGCGCAGGUCCGAUUGCAAACUGGUGAACACCAUCAGGGACAACACCAGCGUGAGGGCCAAAGGGUCUGGUCAAUAGGUACCAGGUACCUUUGAAUGGAACAGCAGGACUGUGCUGAUGAAUUGUUCACAUUCGAGCCAGUAAGGAUGGUGACUGGCUUAUUGCUGUUUUUUAAUCACGAUGACCCCUCGUUCAGGCGAAGGAUGUGGGGCAUUGCUGGUAAAGACAGCAUUUGUGCCCUUCAUCAUAGAGUCAUUGGGGCUAUUUCUGUGCUCUGUGACUCUUCGGCCUAACUCGUCCAUGCCGACCUGGUUUCCUGAGCUGACCCAGCCCUGUUUACCUGUGUUUGAACCAUAUCCCUUCCAACCUUUCCUAUCCAUGUAUCUGCCAAAAUUUCUUUCAAAUAUUUAUAAUUUUACCCACCUCCACCACUUCCCCUGACAGCUCAUUCCAUAUACCCACCACUAUCUUUGCGAAAGAUUUGCCCCUCAGGCCCCUUCUGAACCUUUCCCUUCUCACCUUAACCCGAUGCCCUCUACUUUUGGACUCUCCAACCCUGGGGUUGAACACCUUGGCUUUCACCUUAUCUAUGUCCCUCAUGAUUUUUAAAACCUUCGAAGGGUCACCCCUCCGCCUCCGAUGCUCUGGAAUAAAAAACAGCCUAUCCUUGUAGCCCAAACUCUCCAUUCCUGACAACAUGGUUAUGUUCAUUUUUUUCACCCUUUCCAGUUGAAUAACAUCCUUCCUGUAGCAACAUGACCAGAACUGUACACAAUGCUACAAGAAUAUCCUUAUCAAUGCCUUGUACAGCCACAACAUGAUGUUCCAACUCCUGUCCUCCGUGCUGCUUUCCCGAUCCAUCACCAUUUCGAUAAUAAUCUGCAUUCCUGUUUUCUUAUUUCUCCCAAAGUGGUAGCCUCACAUCAAUCCACAUCAAACUACAUCAGCCGUGCAUUUGCCCACUCACUCAACUUGACCCAAUCGCAUGGAAGCAUCUCUGCAUCCUCCUUCACAACUCCCCCCUUCCUCUGAACCCUGUGUUGAGAUGGAAAACUAAAUGAAAACACAAUGGGCCCGGUAUUUAUGAAGCAAUGGAAAGUAUUGUUCAUGGAUGGCGUACAUUGGGAUGGGUUUAAUCUAUCGCUGUGCUAUUGUAAAUGUAAUUUCUUGAUGAUAUUUGCUUUUGUACACAACAAUUCUGCCUUUGGUGAUGAAUAAAAUUGUAACACACAACAAA
This is a long non-coding RNA of Stegostoma tigrinum, 3839 nucleotides long. RefSeq lists it as uncharacterized. The transcript has 2 exons. Lineage: Eukaryota; Metazoa; Chordata; Chondrichthyes; Orectolobiformes; Stegostomatidae. The record is from RefSeq and is a predicted model, not a curated record.